Gopherus agassizii (Agassiz's desert tortoise) is the source of this 145-nucleotide small nuclear RNA. Its record names the gene U1. It matches the Rfam family "U1 spliceosomal RNA". Rfam says of the family: U1 is a small nuclear RNA (snRNA) component of the spliceosome (involved in pre-mRNA splicing). The record is from Ensembl. NCBI's taxonomy places the organism in Eukaryota, Metazoa, Chordata, Testudines, Testudinidae.
AUCCUUGCACCCCAGGAAUAUACUGUUUUUCACUGCUCUAGACCUUUUACACUGUGGAUGUGUUGACCUCUGUGAUUUCCCCAAAUGUGGGAAACUCAACUGCAGAAUUUAUGGUAGUGGGGCACUGCGUUCACACUUUUCCCUC